UGGCGGACGGGUGAGUAACGCGUGGGCAACCUGCCUUACACAGGGGGAUAACACUUAGAAAUAGGUGCUAAAACCGCAUAAGCGCACAGCUUCGCAUGAAGCGGUGUGAAAAACUCCGGUGGUGUAAGAUGGACCCGCGUCUGAUUAGCUUGUUGGCGGGGUAACGGCCCACCAAGGCGACGAUCAGUAGCCGGCCUGAGAGGGCGGACGGCCACAUUGGGACUGAGACACGGCCCAGACUCCUACGGAAGGCAGCAG
RNAcentral lists this ribosomal RNA (258 nucleotides) under uncultured bacterium. RNAcentral describes it as "partial 16S ribosomal RNA". It matches the Rfam family "Bacterial small subunit ribosomal RNA", at positions 96 to 354 of the family's 1533-position model. The record is from RNAcentral.